UCUUCGCUAGUAUAUCGGUUAGUACACGCGCCUGUCACCAAUCCAAAUCGCGCGAAAGCUGGGUUCGACUCCCAGGCGAAGAG
Arthromyces matolae is the source of this 83-nucleotide non-coding RNA. The record is from the annotation of a GenBank genome assembly. NCBI's taxonomy places the organism in Eukaryota, Fungi, Basidiomycota, Agaricomycetes, Agaricales, Lyophyllaceae.